This 46-nucleotide non-coding RNA is filed under the name Schistosoma mattheei. Lineage: Eukaryota; Metazoa; Platyhelminthes; Trematoda; Strigeidida; Schistosomatidae. The record is from RNAcentral.
AUCUAGCUGACCAGUCCGAAAUAAGACGAAAACAUGCGUCAUGGAU